UGUAGACUGUAAACUUACUUA
Molecule: non-coding RNA, 21 nt
Filed under: Caenorhabditis elegans
Lineage: Eukaryota; Metazoa; Nematoda; Chromadorea; Rhabditida; Rhabditidae
Source: RNAcentral